AGGAGGAAAUCCUAUGUGUCUGCUCCCAGAGCUGCCACAACCCAUCUUCCCACAACUCGGAACUUGGAAAAAGGAACCCAGGACACGACUUUGCUUUUCUUUUGGACCUAGUUGGUGAUUAUACCCGGUCUCCCAUGGAGACCAUGUCUUGCAUCCUUCCUUCUGUAUGGGAUUUAGGAUAGAAAUUAAAAAGAAAACAUCUUAUUUUGAGUCUUGAUUUGGAGAAAGGUAGUAUUUAGGGAGAAGUAGGCUAUGAUACACAUAGAAAAUUUGAGGACAGUGUUACUUAACAAGGACAUUUCUGUCUCUGCAGAAGUCACAGCUUGGAGGAAACCAGUUUGCACUAUUUGAUGAGGAAUUUGGCCACCAAACCACUGAUACUUUCCCAAAGAUACAAGUUAACAGGAUAUGCUUCUGGCGUGUUUCUGGAUUCUAAGGGUAGAACCAGCAUGAAACUAGUCAGUCCAAGUAUUUCUAAAGAUCCACAGACACAGUUCUCCUAGAUUUGGGAAGCCUAGAGAUAUUAGCACAAUAAUUAUGGCCCAACAACUUUUAAAAGCAUUUCCAUUGCACAGUGAAAGAAAACCACAAACUCCUUGUUUAAUAACUCGGAUCAUGUGCUUUUAACGAGAGGAAAAGGUCAAGUCUGAAGCAACUGAUAU
Molecule: long non-coding RNA, 662 nt
Filed under: Pongo abelii (Sumatran orangutan)
Lineage: Eukaryota; Metazoa; Chordata; Mammalia; Primates; Hominidae
Description: lincRNA
Source: RNAcentral